RNAcentral lists this long non-coding RNA (1534 nucleotides) under Sinocyclocheilus grahami. RNAcentral's name for it is "lncRNA (ENSSGRG00000027481.1)". The record is from RNAcentral. Lineage: Eukaryota; Metazoa; Chordata; Actinopteri; Cypriniformes; Cyprinidae.
AAAAAAAUGGAAACAGAAAUUAUUUAAAAAGAAAAAACCCUACACCAUCUGCUACUAUUUUUUUGUUAAUUCAAAGUGUAAGAUCAGUUAGUUAUGUAAGGAUUUUUCAUAACAAUCGGAAGUGCAAAGAAAAAAUGGUAGCCUCGACAGCCAUUGUACACUUGUAUUCAAAUGACAUACUGAGCACGUGUAUACAGUUACACAACCUGCCCUUUAUAAAACCAGUCCCACAGGUGUAGUAUCUGUGUUAUUCAGUCCUCAGAGUGUUACGGUAACUUCCCUCUCUCUUCAACGCUUGGUUUCAGGCGUAGCUGCUCACAAUGGGAGGUCACAGCGUUGCCCGUUUAGCACUCAUAGUCCUUUCUGUUGUCAUUUUCAUCAUCUGCAUCAUAUUCAACGCACUUGCUGGACCGGGAACUGGUCCUUUUCGGAACAACACUGGAGCGAUAUCAGAUAAAUACAAUACAGAAAUCACUCCCUCGGGAUGGACCUUCUCAAUCUGGGGUGUCAUCUACACUUGGCUGUCACUCAUGCAUGUUUACAUCCUCACCACUACCUGCAGGAGGGUGAUGAUUGCUGCAUUCAUUAUCCUUGCCUUGAUUGCCUUCACAAACUAUUUGCUUAUAAUCUUCUCCUGUCAUGGACUCAAACAAUAUGGAGCCUGGUUAAACAAAUAUCACAAAGUAGACCUCUGGUGCAUACGGAUAUUGGUUCAGAAUGGCAUUGCAACAUACACAACAUGGACAACAAUUGCCACUCUGAUUAACUUCACUGUUGUGCUGAGAUAUGAUGCUGGAAUGACCCAGUCAGAUGCAGCAACAGUCUCUCUCUCUAUUCUUUUGGGUGAAGCUAUUUCUUGGUUCAUUGUUGAGAACUUUGUGUUUGAAAAGCACCUGCGAUACAUUCUGACAGUCUACCCUGUUGUUAUUGUGGCCUUGAGUGGAAACAUGACCAAGAACUUUAAAUCUGCAGAUCCAAGCCGCAGCGGCAUUUACAUAGCUGUUUUACUGGGGUUGACUUGUACACUAUUUGCGAUCAAAGUGUUGCUGGUUAUAUGGAGGCACAUUAAACAUCCUCUCUACAAAGGCAUGAAUGUAGAGGAGGAGAUAUCACCAAUGGAAAUUGCUGAAAAGCAGAAGAAGAUCUUCACUUAAACGGAAUAAUGUUUGUAUCAUUCGAUUUUAUAUUUGUCAUGCUAUUUAUUUAUUAUAGCAUUAUAAUCAAUGCUAUUUAUUUUUAUAAUUGUUCAAAUGUGUAAAUAUGUAAUUUUGAUAAAUGAUGAAGUAAAAACUAAAAUGCAAAGCUUGUGUAAAUGAGUUACACACAUUUAAUUGCUCUUAUCAGGGCAGGGGGUGUCUUAGAGUAUCUUUACAGUGACCAUGAUCUGUGCACUGUUAUGUACCAUUUUUCUCCAGCAAUAAAAUCAUAAAACUCACUAGGGUUUAAAGUUUUUGUAAAGUUUUAGAUGGGAAGUCAAGAGGUUGUUGGCUCAAUCCCAACAAGUGGUGACUGAAAAUAGAAUCAUGAUCACAAU